This is a long non-coding RNA of Vitis vinifera (wine grape), 299 nucleotides long. RefSeq lists it as uncharacterized. The record is from RefSeq and is a predicted model, not a curated record. The transcript is spliced from 2 exons. Lineage: Eukaryota; Viridiplantae; Streptophyta; Magnoliopsida; Vitales; Vitaceae.
AUGAAAUUAGAGGAGAAUGGGCUACUUUUGUGCUACAACUAAUCAUGAAUCAUGUUGAUGCAUCAUGAUCACCAUGCAUGGUAUACACUCUUGGGAGGGUGAAAUGGAGAAUAAAAAGAAAGAAGAAGGCAACAAGAUUUUGGGUUUUUAAAUGCAACUCUUAUGUCAUACGUUGUAGGACAUAAACGUUACUUUAAUUGCAACUGAGAAAUUUAGAUUUUUAGAUGGGACUUCUAUGUCAUUUUAUGGUUAGCCGGUUUUAUGCUUAUGAAAUGGAGGUAUAUAUGAAUCUUGGGAUC